AUUUAAGUAGUUUAAUAUAGAAAACUGUGAUUUGUGGGGUCAUAAAUAUAAAUUUUUAUCUUAAAUU
Molecule: transfer RNA, 67 nt
Filed under: Athalia birmanica
Lineage: Eukaryota; Metazoa; Arthropoda; Insecta; Hymenoptera; Athaliidae
Description: tRNA-His
Source: RNAcentral